GGGGGCUUAGCUCAGCUGGGAGAGCAUCUGCCUUACAAGCAGAGGGUCAGCGGUUCGAUCCCGUUACCCCACC
Molecule: transfer RNA, 73 nt
Filed under: Listeria booriae
Lineage: Bacteria; Bacillati; Bacillota; Bacilli; Caryophanales; Listeriaceae
Description: tRNA-Val(tac)
Rfam family: tRNA
About the family: Transfer RNA (tRNA) molecules are approximately 80 nucleotides in length. Their secondary structure includes four short double-helical elements and three loops (D, anti-codon, and T loops). Further hydrogen bonds mediate the characteristic L-shaped molecular structure. tRNAs have two regions of fundamental functional importance: the anti-codon, which is responsible for specific mRNA codon recognition, and the 3' end, to which the tRNAs corresponding amino acid is attached (by aminoacyl-tRNA synthetases). tRNAs cope with the degeneracy of the genetic code in two manners: having more than one tRNA (with a specific anti-codon) for a particular amino acid; and 'wobble' base-pairing, i.e. permitting non-standard base-pairing at the 3rd anti-codon position.
Source: RNAcentral